Molecule: microRNA precursor, 59 nt
Filed under: Ascaris suum (pig roundworm)
Lineage: Eukaryota; Metazoa; Nematoda; Chromadorea; Rhabditida; Ascarididae
Description: Asu-Mir-2-P11_pre stem-loop
Source: RNAcentral
ACUGGCAGUUGACUGUUGAUCCGUCGUAUCGAAUCGAAUCACAGCCAAACUGUUGGUUA